AAGUGGUAGGAGAGCGUUCUAUUUGCGUCGAAGGUAUACCGGUAAGGAGUGCUGGAGCGAAUAGAAGUGAGCAUGCAGGCAUGAGUAGCGAUAAUUAAUGUGAGAAUCAUUAACGCCGUAAACCCAAGGUUUCCUACGCGAUGCUCGUCAUCGUAGGGUUAGUCGGGUCCUAAGUCGAGUCCGAAAGGGGUAGACGAUGGCAAAUUGGUUAAUAUUCCAAUACCAACAUUAGUGUGCGAUGGAAGGACGCUUAGGGCUAAGGGGGCUAGCGGAUGGAAGUGCUAGUCUAAGGUCGUAGGAGGUUAUACAGGCAAAUCCGUAUAACAAUACUCCGAGAACUGAAAGGCUUUUUGAAGUCUUCGGAUGGAUAGAAGAACCCCUGAUGCCGUCGAGCCAAGAAAAGUUUCUAAGUUUAGCUAAUGUUGCCCGUACCGUAAACCGACACAGGUGGGUGGGAUGAGUAUUCUAAGGCGCGUGGAAGAACUCUCUUUAAGGAACUCUGCAAAAUAGCACC
Molecule: ribosomal RNA, 514 nt
Filed under: Campylobacter jejuni
Lineage: Bacteria; Pseudomonadati; Campylobacterota; Epsilonproteobacteria; Campylobacterales; Campylobacteraceae
Description: partial 23S ribosomal RNA
Rfam family: Bacterial large subunit ribosomal RNA
Source: RNAcentral